UACAGAGGUCCCAAGCGUUGUUCGGAUUCACUGGGCGUAAAGGGUGCGUGGGCGGUCGGGUAAGUCUGAUGUGAAAUCUCACAGCUUAACUGUGAAACUGCAUUGGAUACUAUUCGGCUUGAGAGUUGGAGGGGGGACUGGAAUUCUCGGUGUAGCAGUGAAAUGCGUAGAUAUCGAGAGGAACACCAGUGGCGAAGGCGAGUCCCUGGACAACUUCUGACGCUGAGGCACGAAAGCUAGGGGAGCAAACAGG
RNAcentral lists this ribosomal RNA (253 nucleotides) under uncultured bacterium. Its description in RNAcentral is "partial 16S ribosomal RNA". It matches the Rfam family "Bacterial small subunit ribosomal RNA", at positions 524 to 776 of the family's 1533-position model. The record is from RNAcentral.